RNAcentral lists this ribosomal RNA (460 nucleotides) under uncultured bacterium. RNAcentral describes it as "partial 16S ribosomal RNA". It matches the Rfam family "Bacterial small subunit ribosomal RNA", at positions 338 to 795 of the family's 1533-position model. The record is from RNAcentral.
CCUACGGGUGGCAGCAGUGAGGAAUAUUGGUCAAUGGACGCAAGUCUGAACCAGCCAUGCCGCGUGCAGGAAGACGGCGCUAUGCGUUGUAAACUGCUUUUGUACGAGGGCAAACUCAGAUACGCGUAUCUGACUGAGAGUAUCUGACGAAUAAGGAUCGGCUAACUCCGUGCCAGCAGCCGCGGUAAUACGGAGGAUUCAAGCGUUAUCCGGAUUUAUUGGGUUUAAAGGGUGCGUAGGCGGUCGGAUAAGUUAGGGGUGAAAACCCGGGGCUCAACUUCGGAAUUGCCUUUGAAACUGUCCGGCUAGAGAGUAGUUGCGGUAGGCGGAAUGUAUGGUGUAGCGGUGAAAUGCUUAGAGAUCAUACAGAACACCGAUUGCGAAGGCAGCAUACCAGGCUACUUCUGACGUUGAGGCACGAAAGCGUGGGGAGCAAACAGGAUUAGAUACCCGGGUAGUC